UUUUUGUAGAGAUGGGGUUUCACUGUGUUGGCCAGGCUGGUCUCGAACUCCAGACCUCAGGUGAUCUGCCCACCUCGGCCUCUCAAAGUACUGGGAUUAUAGACGUGAGCCACCGGGCCCAGCCAUUUGUAUAUUUUCUUUGGAGAAAUAUCUAUUCAAAAAUUUUCCUAUUUUUAAUUGAGUUAUUUGUCUUUUUAUUAUUGACUUUUAAGAUUUUUUUUUUUUUUUUUUUUUUUUUGAGGCAGAGUCUCGCUCUGCUGCCCAGACUGGAGCGCAGUGGCGCGAGCUCCACUCACUGCAACCUCCGCAUACUAGGUUCCAGCGAUUCUCCUGCCUCAGCCUGCUGAGUAGCUGAAAUUACAGGCGCACACCACCACGCCCGGCUAACUUUUUGUGUGUGUAUUUUUAGUAGAGACAGGGUUUCACCAUGUUGGCCAGGCUGGUUGGCCAGGCUGGUCUUGAACUUCUGACCUCAGGUGAUCCGCCCUUCUCUGCCUCCCAAAGCGCUGGGAUUACAGGCAUGAGCCACCAUACCCAGCCAACUUUUAAGAAUCUUUUUAAGGUUUUGUUGCAUACCAAAAGUGUUCUUUAUAUAUUCUGGAUGCAAGUCUCAGACAUAAUGAUUUGCAAAUAUUUUUUCUUCCAUUCUGCGAGUUUUAACUUUUUUGAUAGCAUCUUUUGAACAAAAAGUGCUAACUUUUUAUGAAGCUAAAUUUGUCUAUUUUUUUUCUUUUACCACUUGUGUUUUUGUUGUCAUGAAGAUUUACUCCUGUUUUCUCUUCUACAAGUUGUGUGGCUUUAAUUCUUACAUUUAGGCCUACAAGCCAUUUUGAGCUAAGUUUGUAUAUGCUGUGAGGUGUCACUGCCCUCAUGGUUAGAGCCCAGAAAGCAAGAGAGAAAGCCUUCUCCAGCCUGACCUGAGCCCUCCCUCUUCUGUUCCUGACUCUUAUCCGGCAGUAGCUUCACUCACUGAUCGUGGUUGGAGCCCUUUUGAGCUCUGGGGAAGGAUGGACAGAAAGAAGAGUAUCCCCUGGUUCCCCUGAGUUAUCAAGCCCCUGUGGGAGGCAGUUGGGAGGGACAUGAGGCAGAUUAGCACAGGGCAUCUGGAGCCAGCAAAGCAGUUUUAGAGCGGGAGCCUGCUUCGGGGAUGCUUGAAGGUGGGCACUGGGGUCAGGCUGCUGGCUCAGGCCCAGCUGGUCUUGCAGCAAAGCCGCCGCAGGGAAGAUGAACCUGUACGAGUCAUUUGCCCAGGCUACCCAGCUGGGCGAUCUGCACACCUGCCUGAUGAUGGACAUGAAGGCCUGCCAGGAGGACGAUGUGCGGCUCCUGUGCCACCUCACGCCCUCCAUCUACACAGAGUUUCCAGAUGAAACCUUGAGGAGCGGAGAGCUGCUGAACAUGAUUGUGGCUGUUAUUGACUCUGCACAGCUCCAGGAGCUGGUCUGCCACGUGAUGAUGGGUAACCUGGUUAUGUUUCGAAAAGACUCAGUUCUCAACAUACUCAUUCAGAGCCUAGACUGGGAGACCUUUGAGCAGUAUUGUGCCUGGCAGCUCUUUCUGGCCCACAAUAUUCCCCUGGAGACCAUAAUCCCCAUCCUGCAGCACCUCAAAUACAAGGAGCACCCAGAGGCCCUGUCCUGCCUACUGCUUCAACUCCGAAGAGAAAAGCCCAGCGAGGAGAUGGUGAAGAUGGUGCUGAGCCGGCCCUGCCAUCCUGACGACCAGUUCACCACCAGCAUCCUGCGGCACUGGUGCAUGAAACAUGACGAGCUGCUGGCCGAGCACAUCAAGUCCCUGCUCAUCAAGAACAACAGCCUGCCUCGCAAGAGACAGAGCCUGAGGAGCUCUAGCAGCAAGCUGGCCCAGCUGACUCUGGAGCAGAUCCUGGAGCACUUGGACAACCUGCGGCUCAACCUGACCAACACCAAGCAGAACUUUUUUAGCCAGACCCCAAUUCUCCAGGCGCUGCAGCAUGUCCAAGCGAGCUGUGACGAAGCCCACAAGAUGAAAUUCAGUGAUCUCUUCUCCCUGGCGGAGGAAUAUGAGGACUCUUCCACCAAGCCACCCAAGAGCCGGCGAAAAGCAGCUCUGUCCAGCCCUCGAAGUCGAAAGAAUGCCACACAGCCCCCCAAUGCCGAAGAAGAGUCGGGCUCCAGCAGUGCUUCAGAAGAGGAAGACACGAAACCGAAGCCUACCAAGCGGAAACGAAAAGGGUCCUCCGCAGUGGGCUCUGACAGUGACUGAGGCCCUGCAUUCCCUAUCCCACCCCCGGCUGGACUGCCCUCUCCUUCUUGGUGAUUCAAAGGUUAAUAGAGGCUGAGGAGAUUGCAGGGGAAACACCCUUGCUGCAUCCCCAAGCUCCCCCGGUGGAAGGAGGAGCUUUCUCCUCUGGCUGAGUUUGAGAAGCUGCCAUGCAGCCCCUAGCCCCUUCCCUCCUCCUGGGGCCUCCAGCCCCUCACACUGCUGUUCCCAGUGAUAUUUGGGAUCUGACUGAAGCCAGAGGCUCUGUAAAAUCAGACCAUAGUGGAAGUCCUCAGCCCCCUGGCCCCUUCCCCAAUCUCCUCCCCCAGUCUCCCAAAGAGCCAUUUCAACAGAGAAGGGAAAUGACAAAGGGGCAGCUGGCCAGAUAAGCUAGGAUGAGAGCAGAGACUCAGUGUGUGGGUGUCCCUUCCCGCUUCCCCUUCAGGUCUUGGUUUGUUCUGAAGGGACGUUUUAUAGUCACUAUCCACAUGCCAGUGUGAAAUGGGCAUCUAUGACGUGGUCAGGGUGUCCAUUCCUAAUCAUGGGGCAGAUGCCACAAGCAUUCAGAAAGGAGUCUGAAAGGGUGGCCACAGCCCCACGUGGUGUGCCCUGGAGGCUUAGGUUGGUCUGAGGUUGGCACCUCAAUCUACACCAGAGCCCAGGGAGUCCCAGAGGCAAGUUUCACAGAAUUGUCAAAUGAUCCCAUUUCCUUGAGUCUGUUUUUUUUUUGUUUUGUUUUGGUUUUUUUUGGCAGAGAUAAUCGUGUCUUAAAAGUUGUUUUUAAAUGACAAUAAAACAAGCCAGAAUGUC
RNAcentral lists this small RNA (3051 nucleotides) under Pan troglodytes (chimpanzee). RNAcentral describes it as "retained intron". Lineage: Eukaryota; Metazoa; Chordata; Mammalia; Primates; Hominidae. The record is from RNAcentral.